AGUGAACGCUGGCGGUAGGCUUAACACAUGCAAGUCGAACGGCAGCACAGUUAGCGCUUGCCCUUCCGGGUGGUGAGUGGCGGACGGGUGCGGAUUACAUCGGAAUCUCCUUUUUCGAGGGGGAUAACGUCGGGAAACUCACGCUAGUACAGCGUACGAUCUGCGGGUGAAAGCAGGGGCUUUUCGGUCCUUGCGUGGUUGAGCGAGCCGUUGUCGGGUUAGCGAGUUGGCGGGGGAAAGGGCCACUGAGCCGACAGUCAGUAGCUGAUCUGAGAGGCGGAUCAGCCACACUGGGACAGAGACACGAUCCAGACUCCUACGGAAGGAAGCAGUGGGGAAUAUUGGACAAUGGGCGCGAGGCUGAUCCAGCCAUACCGCAUGGGUGAAGAAGGCCUUCGGGUUGUGAAGCCCUUUUGUUGGGAAAGAAAAGCAGCAGGUUAAUACCCCGCUGUACUGACGGUACCCAAAGAAUAAGCACCGGCUAACUUCGUG
RNAcentral lists this ribosomal RNA (492 nucleotides) under uncultured bacterium. Its description in RNAcentral is "partial 16S ribosomal RNA". It matches the Rfam family "Bacterial small subunit ribosomal RNA", at positions 29 to 507 of the family's 1533-position model. The record is from RNAcentral.